RNAcentral lists this ribosomal RNA (492 nucleotides) under uncultured bacterium. RNAcentral describes it as "bacterial SSU rRNA". It matches the Rfam family "Bacterial small subunit ribosomal RNA", at positions 28 to 517 of the family's 1533-position model. The record is from RNAcentral.
GACGAACGCUGGCGGCAUGCCUAACACAUGCAAGUCGAACGAGAAAGCACUUUCGGGUGUGAUUAAAGUGGCGAACGGGUGAGUAACGCGUAGGUAAUCUGCCCUAUAGUCGGGGAUAAACACUGGAAACGGUGUCUAAUACCGGAUGUGAACGGAUACUUCAUGGUAUCCAGUUUAAAGUAUUUUUAUGCUAUAGGAUGAGCCUGCGUCGUAUUAGCUAGUUGGUAAGGUAAGGGCUUACCAAGGCAACGAUGCGUAGCGGAUUUGAGAGAGUGAUCCGCCACACUGGGACUGAGAUACGGCCUAGACUCCUACGGGAGGCAGCAGUGAGGAAUAUUGCGCAAUGGACGAAAGUCUGACGCAGCAAUGCCGCGUGAAUGAAGAAGGCCUAUGGGUUGUAAAAUUCUGUCAGAAGGGAAGAACAUGUCGGUUAGCAGCUGAUAUUGACGGUACCUUCAGAGGAAGCUCCGGCUAACUCCGUGCCAGCAGCCG